CCUACGGGUGGCUGCGGUGGGGAAUAUUGGACAAUGGGGGGAACCCUGAUCCAGCCAUGCCGCGUGUGUGAAGAAGGCCCUCGGGUUGUAAAGCACUUUCAGUGAGGAAGAACGCCUGGUGGUUAAUACCCAUCAGGAAAGACAUCACUCACAGAAGAAGCACCGGCUAACUCCGUGCCAGCAGCCGCGGUAAUACGGAGGGUGCGAGCGUUAAUCGGAAUUACUGGGCGUAAAGCGCGCGUAGGUGGCUUGAUAAGCCGGUUGUGAAAGCCCCGGGCUCAACCUGGGAACGGCAUCCGGAACUGUCAAGCUAGAGUGCAGGAGAGGAAGGUAGAAUUCCCGGUGUAGCGGUGAAAUGCGUAGAGAUCGGGAGGAAUACCAGUGGCGAAGGCGGCCUUCUGGACUGACACUGACACUGAGGUGCGAAAGCGUGGGUAGCAAACAGGAUUAGAUACCCGUGUAGUC
Molecule: ribosomal RNA, 465 nt
Filed under: Vreelandella stevensii
Lineage: Bacteria; Pseudomonadati; Pseudomonadota; Gammaproteobacteria; Oceanospirillales; Halomonadaceae
Description: partial 16S ribosomal RNA
Rfam family: Bacterial small subunit ribosomal RNA
Source: RNAcentral